CGCCUACGGGAGGCAGCAGUGAGGAAUAUUGGUCAAUGGGCGAGAGCCUGAACCAGCCAAGUCGCGUGAAGGAUGACGGCCCUAUGGGUUGUAAACUUCUUUUGUCAGGGAGCAAUUGGGUCCACGUGUGGGCUUAGCGAGGGUACCUGAAGAAAAGGCAUCGGCUAACUCCGUGCCAGCAGCCGCGGUAAUACGGAGGAUGCGAGCGUUAUCCGGUUUUAUUGGGUUUAAAGGGUGCGUAGGCGGAAUAUCAAGUCAGCGGUAAAAAUUCGGGGCCCAACCCCGACGGGCCGUUGAACUUGAUG
RNAcentral lists this ribosomal RNA (305 nucleotides) under uncultured bacterium. RNAcentral describes it as "bacterial SSU rRNA". It matches the Rfam family "Bacterial small subunit ribosomal RNA", at positions 336 to 638 of the family's 1533-position model. The record is from RNAcentral.